AGUGAACGCUGGCGGUAGGCCUAACACAUGCAAGUCGAACGGCAGCACAGUAAGAGCUUGCUCUUACGGGUGGCGAGUGGCGGACGGGUGAGGAAUACAUCGGAAUCUACUUUUUCGUGGGGGAUAACGUAGGGAAACUUAUGCUAAUACCGCAUACGACCUACGGGUGAAAGCAGGGGAUCUUCGGGCCUUGCGCGAUUGAAUGAGCCGAUGUCGGAUUAGCUAGUUGGCGGGGUAAAGGCCCACCAAGGCGACGCUCCGUAGCUGGUCUGAGAGGGUGAUCAGCCACACUGGAACUGAGACACGGUCCAGACUCCUACGGGAGGCAGCAGUGGGGAAUAUUGGACAAUGGGCGAAAGCCUGAUCCAGCAAUACCGCGUGAGUGAAGAAGGCCUUCGGGUUGUAAAGCCCUUUUGUUGGGAAAGAAAAGCAGCAGGUUAAUACGCCGCUGUUCUGACGGUACCCAAAGAAUAAGCACCGGCUAACUUCGUG
This 492-nucleotide ribosomal RNA is filed under the name uncultured bacterium. Its description in RNAcentral is "partial 16S ribosomal RNA". It matches the Rfam family "Bacterial small subunit ribosomal RNA", at positions 29 to 507 of the family's 1533-position model. The record is from RNAcentral.